AUCCGCUCUAAGGCAUUCUGGGUGCCUGCUCUCUAAGUGGGAGGAACAGAGCGUAGCCCUUGCACCAUGUUGUGGGAAUCAACUGUCCCAUCGCUGCCACUUCCGCUGGUGUUGGGAGAAUGGAUGUGCUUGUGUUUGGAUGUCCCUAUUUAUAGAAUAGGCUAGCGACGGCCAGUGCAGCCGGCCGCCGACGGUUUCUUGUGUACGCUGCGAUGCAAAUCUCCUCUGUCAGCUGUGUGUGCGCUACUGGGGGAAGGCGAAAGAACUGGAGAGGAACUUGACUCACCUUUUCCUGGCUCGCCAUGAGAAACUGAGCACGAAACAAUAGAAAUGGCCCUUCUGGAGCGUGUCAUGGUUUCUCGCUAGGGAAAUAAGCAGACUAAUGUGACAAAACCUCUGUAGAUAAAAAACGACAGGGACGGAGGUUUAUGGGCUUGAGGCUGAGCAGCACAUCAUCCCAGCAAGCCGACAGCCAGGCCUGCCUCUGAAAUCACCAACCACUUACACAGGAAGUGAUGGGUACUCCACACUGCUGCACCAAGAGAAAGUCUGUGAGCAUCAUCACGCGGCCUCAGGCUCGUUUACAAUCUUGAACUGGAAUGACCUUUCCACUGUGGGGCAAACUCCUUCCCAGACUCAGAGGUUAACCACACAAGUACUUCAGUGAUUCAAAAAACAAUCGCACGGUUGCUCUCCCUUGGAGAUGAAUUCCCAAACUGGUAGCAAAUACAGGCAACGCUUGGUAACCGUGUUCAACCAGAGAUUCUAAGAAAAGUUCAAGGUUAAUCACUGAAAGGCUUUGUACUGAGGCCACCCUCUUUGGUAACCAACACAUCCUAGAAUUUUGUAAAUAUUUAGAGCUAAUUCCCUUAUCACGAAGCUCACAUUUUCCAGAAGCCUUUCUAGUGGCCAGGGGGAGAGAAGGGAUUCGAAGAUUCUGAUUCCCUCUGCCCUGUGCCCUACCGACUUCUUGGGUCAACCUUAACUAUGCAAAACACCAAUGUGCACUUCCAGGCACACAUCCCUUCAAGCUCCCAUGAGGAAAUUCCUGUUUGCGGGUUGCUGUUUUCCUGUUCCAGGAGGCUGGCUGGCCCUCCAGAGCUGGAGGGUAGGAGUGCUGGGAGUUUCCUUCCCAUCUCUGAGACCAGAUCUCUGUCACUGGAGUCAUGUCUGAGCACUGGCCCAGGGUGCUGGGACCCCGACGGGGAAGCAAUGGGGAGGAAAUGUUUCUCCUGCCCUCCAGCUCCCAAGGACUCACAUGCUCACAUAGACAUCAACCCAACCAGACUGUCCCCCUAUGUUCCGAGCUGCUAGGGGGAUCUGAGGCGGUGGCUAAGAGCCACUCAGCAGAGUUUGUUGCUGGCCUUGCCAGAAGCUCAUGAGAGAUGGCUUCCCAUUCUGUGCAGUGAAGGUCAGAGAGCUCACCAGGUCCAUCCCCAUCCCAAACCAGCACAUUUUAGUGUUUCGGCCAAAAAAGCAGGACAAAGUUUUAAAAGAUUAAGUUGAAGCAAAAGAGCACAGUGUCACAAAAUUGAACUCGAUACACGUGAGAGGCAUAAAAUAGUAAUAAAGAUAAACAAGAAACAAUAGAUAAAAACACAGCGAAAGGCACUGGUCUGGCAGUGGUUCUCUCCAAGUUUAGUACAGGAGAUGCCCUGUUUUCAUUAGCUUCCUUCCUUGGGUUCUUCAACACAAAGCCUUCUAGAGAGCCUGGAGGGUUGUGCAGAGCAAGAAGUCUUUGGUUUCUAAACCCGCAGACUAGAAUAGAUACAGUCUUUUGUUAUAGGUUCCCUGGAAUACAGAAUGGCCUAUGGAGAGCACUUUUCUCCGGGAGUGUCCAGUUUUCUGUGACAUCCCUAAAUGGUACUAGACCCACAUUCAAAUGUCCAAGCUAGUCCAACUCCCGAGUCCUCAGAUAAGGCCUAGAAAAGUCCAACUGAGUGCUCUGGGUGACAAGGUAAAUUAUAUGUCACCUUCUAAAGCUGUUUGGGACCCCGUGGGAGGAAGACACCACACAAGCCAAGAGACCUUUUCCAUUUCAAAUUACAAGGAUUCUGUGAAAGUCUCCAGCCGCCACUCUGUCUGGCUUUCUGGGCCUGGGUGUGCCAGUUGCCACUCUGCUGUGCGGAGGUGGACGGAUGGCCAGGGGACAGGGAUGGCUGGAUAUGGCCACUGGCAGCCAGCUAGCAUACGCAGGCACCAGCCCUCAGCUAAACUGUCACUGUGGGCUCCAGGAGAAUUCUUGAGAACCCAGUCUCACAGGGGAAGGGACAAGUCCAAGCUCCACAGAUCCAUCACAAAAGCUGAUCACAUAUGAAAAAAAAAAAAAAUCAGUAAAAGCCAUUGGCCAGAUGGCCUCCAUGUCCAGGCUAAUUAAGAACAAUUUCCCAAGUCAUGGGGCAGAAUACAUUUGUAAAUGACAUAGCUGUAAGGGUGGGACAUUAAAAAAAAACAAACCGGGCUGGGGAUUUAGCUCAGUGGUAGAGCGCUUGCCUAGGAAGCGCAAGGCCCUGGGUUCGGUCCCCAGCUCCGAAAAAAAGAAAAAAACAAAAAAAAAAAAAAAAAAACAAAAAAAACCAACCCUGUGACCGUGGCAUCGGUGGUGACAGACAACAUGAGAGAAGCGCAGAGUGCCUCGUGAAAACCGAAAGAUUGGAACCAGCUGUAACUUCAGGUCCAGGACAUCCAGUGCCAACCUCCGGCCCCCGUGGGCCCCUGUAAUCCACACGCACAUACUCUCUCCCAAUACACACAACUAAAAAUAAAAUCUAAAAGCCAUAACUAAUUGACAGACGUGAAUGGAAAGGAACGUGACUGCAAUUCCAGCAUCCAAGAAGGCUGAGGCAGGAGGAUCAAGAGGCCAAGGCCAGCUUCAGCUGUGAAAGGAGGCCUGCAGACAACAGCAACUUGUGUCUGGGAAAAUGCAGUGUUUAGACCUUGUAGGUAAUGCUCUAGUCGGUUCGUCUUCAGCUUUUCCAAAGCAGCGUGGGAAAAAUUCUACUUUCUCUCGGCCUUUGACCCCACGUGUACUGGCUGCUUUUUUUGUCAACCUGACACAAGCUAAAAUCUUCAGAGAGGAAGGAGCCUCAGCUUAUGAGAUCUAGCUAUAAAGUAUUUUCUCAAUUAGUAAUCAACAGGAAAGACCACAGCCCCUUGUGGGCAAUGCUGUCCCUGGACUGGUGGCCCUGGGUGCUAUAAGAAAGCAGGCUGAGCAAGCCAGGGGGGGCAAGCCAGUAAGCAGCACCCCUCCCUGGCCUCUGCAUCAGCUCCUGCUUCCAGGUUCCUGUUUUUCUUGAGUUCCUGUCCUGAUUUCCUUUGGUGAUGAACAGCAAUAUGGAAGUGUAAGCCAAAUAAAUCCUUUCUUCUCCAA
Molecule: long non-coding RNA, 3370 nt
Organism: Rattus norvegicus (Norway rat)
Lineage: Eukaryota; Metazoa; Chordata; Mammalia; Rodentia; Muridae
Source: RefSeq, a predicted model, not a curated record